AAGGGUAUAGCUCAGUGGUAGAGUGCAUGCCUAGCAUGCAUGAGGUCCUGGGUUCAAUCCCCAGUACUCCCA
Molecule: transfer RNA, 72 nt
Filed under: Camelus bactrianus (Bactrian camel)
Lineage: Eukaryota; Metazoa; Chordata; Mammalia; Artiodactyla; Camelidae
Also listed under: 1 other name
Rfam family: tRNA
About the family: Transfer RNA (tRNA) molecules are approximately 80 nucleotides in length. Their secondary structure includes four short double-helical elements and three loops (D, anti-codon, and T loops).
Source: Rfam by way of RNAcentral